GCGAGUGAAGCGGNAACAGCUCAAAUUUGAAAUCUGGCCUCACGGUCCGAGUUGUAAUUUGUAGAGGAUGCUUCGAGCGUGGUCNGGCCUAAGUUCCUUGGAACAGGACGUCAUAGAGGGUGAGAAUCCCGUAUGCGGCCGGGUGCCUACGCUCAUGUGAANCUCCUUCGACGAGUCGAGUUGNUNGNNAAUA
This 193-nucleotide ribosomal RNA is filed under the name uncultured fungus. RNAcentral's name for it is "partial 28S ribosomal RNA". It matches the Rfam family "Eukaryotic large subunit ribosomal RNA", at positions 89 to 282 of the family's 3401-position model. The record is from RNAcentral. Lineage: Eukaryota; Fungi.